This 280-nucleotide unclassified non-coding RNA is filed under the name uncultured fungus. RNAcentral's name for it is "partial contains small subunit ribosomal RNA, internal transcribed spacer 1, and 5.8S ribosomal RNA". The stretch from base 1 to 73 matches the Rfam family "Eukaryotic small subunit ribosomal RNA", at positions 1759 to 1831 of the family's 1831-position model. Lineage: Eukaryota; Fungi. The record is from RNAcentral.
GCAAACUUGGUCAUUUAGAGGAAGUAAAAGUCGUAACAAGGUCUCCGUAGGUGAACCUGCGGAGGGAUCAUUGAAGGUCGACUUGCCGUUCGUCGGCUCGUCUUCACUCUCAUCCCUUUGUGGAAAGAAACAGAUUUCUUUGGCGAAGGUUUAAGUUACCUUCGUCGAAGGUUUUCAAAAAUUCAAAUUUUAUUCGUUUGUCAGACUACAAAUGCAAUAACAAAGAUAAAAAACUUUCAACAACGGAUCUCUUGGCUCUCGCAUCGAUGAAGAACGCAGC